UGAGAAGUUGCUUAACCGUCCACCUCUCUGCCGGAUCUCUCUUUAGACACUUGCUAACAAAGUCUUUUGCUUGGCAUGACAAAUAUUCAGGGACAUCUGGUGUUUUCCCAGAAUAAGCGAUUUGAUAAAGAAUGGACAUCGGGUCACUAUGAUUAGGCCACGGGGAGUUCCCCGUAGCCAUUUCAAUAAUCGUACAGCCAAGUGCCCAGAUAUCAGCUGCAAACCCCUGCUCUUCCCCUCGGGCCACCUCCGGUGCCAUAAACAUUGGCGUGCCACCAAAUGUCGCUGUCAAGUCACUUUUCUGAUCAACCCUCAUCGCGCAACCCAAAUCAGCAAUUUUAGCACCAGCUUCACCUAUCAAAAUGUUGGUCCCCUUGAUGUCACAAUGUGCUACGCCGCUUAAAUGAAGGUACUCCAGGCCUCUUAAAAUUUGUUGCGUGUAACAUCUGAUCAUGGCCUCAUCUAAUCCUCUGCCCUUCCUCCGAAUCACAUCGCUAAGCGUGCCAGCCGCAACAUAUUCCAGCUUCAGAUUGUACAUAAGCCUGUUAUUCUCACUAGUAAUAUCAGACCCUCUGUAGCUAACAAUGUAAGGACUUGACAUACUGCACAAAAACUUCUCCUCCCUCUGCAACCACUCCGAAUGUGAUAACUCCACCGAUUUAACUGCAAAAACCUCCCCAGAACCGCAACAACUAGCCAUCGAGACGGUGGCAGAGGAUCCACGGCCAAUAGUCUGACCUCUCCUCCACUCCAUUUUUCUGUUUAAGUGUAGUAAAAAGAACUUCUGCUGCUCUUCUUUUUUCUUCAAUGUGUUGUUUUAUUGGAGUAUCUGGUUAGUUGGUAUCUUAUAUAUAACAAAAUUUCUUGAUGAUUCCUUUAACGGGAGCCCGAAAACGUGGCGCUACGUGAUUGGUGGAGAGUUGGAAAUUGAGGGGGAAACCAUAUGGCAUAAUGAGAAGUGGACAAGUGGUCACAUAAACUUAAANGUGCCUGAGAAGUUGCUUAACCGUCCACCUCUCUGCCGGAUCUCUCUUUAGACACUUGCUAACAAAGUCUUUUGCUUGGCAUGACAAAUAUUCAGGGACAUCUGGUGUUUUCCCAGAAUAAGCGAUUUGAUAAAGAAUGGACAUCGGGUCACUAUGAUUAGGCCACGGGGAGUUCCCCGUAGCCAUUUCAAUAAUCGUACAGCCAAGUGCCCAGAUAUCAGCUGCAAACCCCUGCUCUUCCCCUCGGGCCACCUCCGGUGCCAUAAACAUUGGCGUGCCACCAAAUGUCGCUGUCAAGUCACUUUUCUGAUCAACCCUCAUCGCGCAACCCAAAUCAGCAAUUUUAGCACCAGCUUCACCUAUCAAAAUGUUGGUCCCCUUGAUGUCACAAUGUGCUACGCCGCUUAAAUGAAGGUACUCCAGGCCUCUUAAAAUUUGUUGCGUGUAACAUCUGAUCAUGGCCUCAUCUAAUCCUCUGCCCUUCCUCCGAAUCACAUCGCUAAGCGUGCCAG
Molecule: long non-coding RNA, 1498 nt
Filed under: Daucus carota (carrot)
Lineage: Eukaryota; Viridiplantae; Streptophyta; Magnoliopsida; Apiales; Apiaceae
Description: long non-coding RNA (DCAR_LNC003985)
Source: RNAcentral